UACGUAGGGGGCAAGCGUUGUCUGGAUUUAUUGGGCGUAAAGAGCGUGUAGGCGGUUUGGUAGGUCCGUUGUGAAAACUCGAGGCUCAACCUCGAGACGCCGAUGGAAACCAUCAGACUAGAGUCCGGAAGAGGAGAGUGGAAUUCCUGGUGUAGCGGUGAAAUGCGUAGAGAUCAUGAGGAAGACCAGUGGCGAAGGCGGGUCUCUGGACAGUUCCUGACACUGAGGCACGAAGGCCAGGGGAGCAAACGGGG
Molecule: ribosomal RNA, 254 nt
Filed under: uncultured bacterium
Lineage: Bacteria
Description: partial 16S ribosomal RNA
Rfam family: Bacterial small subunit ribosomal RNA
Source: RNAcentral